CUCGUUCACCAAGAACCGGAUAACCUUCUCCGAGCCAGCUUUCUGGCGAUCGUUACAACUUUUGCAGUCAUUUUCCAGGGCGUCAGGCAGCAAGUCUGUGAAAAAGCGAAAGUUUUCGUAAUUAGAAUACCUGAACACUCCAGUCACGAAUUCGUAGCAUCGUAU
This is a long non-coding RNA of Neodiprion virginianus, 165 nucleotides long. RefSeq lists it as uncharacterized. The transcript is spliced from 4 exons. The record is from RefSeq and is a predicted model, not a curated record. NCBI's taxonomy places the organism in Eukaryota, Metazoa, Arthropoda, Insecta, Hymenoptera, Diprionidae.